AUGACGGUGCGAGCGUUAAUCGGAUUUACUGGGCGUAAAGGGCGCGUACGCGGUUAUAUAAGUGUGAUGUGAAAGGCCCCGGGCUUAACCUGGGAAGAGCAUCACAAACUGUGUAGCUAGAGUAUAUGAGAGGGUGGCGGAAUUUCCGGUGUAGCGGUGAAAUGCGUAGAGAUCGGAAGGAACGUCAAUGGCGAAGGCAGCCACCUGGCAUAAUACUGACGCUCAGGCGCGAAAGCGUGGGGAGCGAACAGGAUUAGAUACCCUGGUAGUCCACGCUGUAAACGAUGAGGACUAAAGGUUGGUAGGGGAACUAUCAGUCUUGAAGCUAACGCGAUAAGUCUUCCGCCUGGGAAGUACGGCCGCAAGGUUG
RNAcentral lists this ribosomal RNA (370 nucleotides) under uncultured bacterium. Its description in RNAcentral is "bacterial SSU rRNA". It matches the Rfam family "Bacterial small subunit ribosomal RNA", at positions 526 to 896 of the family's 1533-position model. The record is from RNAcentral.